AGCGGCUCGGGAGGCUGAGAAAGGAGGAUCGUGAGUUCAGAGCCAGCCUCAGCAGACAGCGGGGCGCUGAGCAACUCAGUGAGACCCUGUCUCUAAAUAAGAUACAAAAAAUAGGGCAGGGGAUGUAGCUCAGUGCCCCUGAGUUCAAUGGCCAGUCCCUCCCACCCCGAAAAUUUGUGCUGAAAAUGUAGAUCUUCCUAACAACACGGCUCCGGCUGAGUGUGAGGAUCCGUGGGGUGCUGGGUGAGCAGAGGGAGCUGGAGUCUGGGCGACGGGGCAUGAGUGCUGGUUCUGUGCACGCCCUGUACCACCGUACAGAGAAGGCUUGGGCUCUCAGGCAUUUUGGCAAUGCCUGGGGGGAACUUCUUCCUCUUCCUACUGUUUUGGUGCUGGGGAUCGAACCUGGGGUCUUGAGCAUGCCACCCAAGCCCUCUACACUCAACCUCACCUUAGCCUUUUAAAAACUUUGAGUCAGGAUCUUGCUGAAUUGCCCAAUCU
RNAcentral lists this long non-coding RNA (498 nucleotides) under Marmota monax (woodchuck). Lineage: Eukaryota; Metazoa; Chordata; Mammalia; Rodentia; Sciuridae. The record is from RNAcentral.